This 557-nucleotide ribosomal RNA is filed under the name uncultured Gammaproteobacteria bacterium. Its description in RNAcentral is "bacterial SSU rRNA". It matches the Rfam family "Bacterial small subunit ribosomal RNA", at positions 32 to 582 of the family's 1533-position model. Lineage: Bacteria; Pseudomonadati; Pseudomonadota; Gammaproteobacteria. The record is from RNAcentral.
AUCGCUGGCUGGUAGGCUUACAACUGCAAGCUUAAACGAGAAAGUAUCUUCUGACAUGAGUAGAUAGGCGGACGGGUGAGUAACGCGUAGGAAUCUACCUAGUAGAAGGGGAUAGCCCGGGGAAACUCGGAUUAGUACCGUAUACCUCCUUCGGGAGAAAGAACGGCCUCUCUUUGAAGCUUUCGCUAUUAGAUGAGCCUGCGUAAGAUUAGCUUGUUGGUGAGUGUAAUGCUCACCAAGGCUACGAUCUUUAGCUGGUCUGAGAGGACGAUCAGCCACAUUGGGACUGAGACACGGACCAGACUCCUACGGGAGGCAGCAGUGGGGAAUAUUGGACAAUGGGCGCAAGCCUGAUCCAGCCAUACCGCGUGUGUGAAGAAGGCCUACGGGUUGUAAAGCACUUAAAGCAGGGAGAAAAAGUUAUAGGUUAAUACCCUAUGGCCCUGAUGUUACCUGCAGAAUAAGCACCGGCUAAUUCCGUGCCAGCAGCCGCGGUAAUACGGAAGGUGCAAGCGUUAAUCGGAAUUACUGGGCGUAAAGCGCGCGUAGGUGGUUUG